Molecule: ribosomal RNA, 492 nt
Filed under: uncultured bacterium
Lineage: Bacteria
Description: partial 16S ribosomal RNA
Rfam family: Bacterial small subunit ribosomal RNA
Source: RNAcentral
AGUGAACGCUGGCGGUAGGCCUAACACAUGCAAGUCGAACGGCAGCACAGUAAGAGCUUGCUCUUACGGGUGGCGAGUGGCGGACGGGUGAGGAAUACAUCGGAAUCUACUUUUUCGUGGGGGAUAACGUAGGGAAACUUACGCUAAUACCGCAUACGACCUACGGGUGAAAGCAGGGGAUCUUCGGACCUUGCGCGAUUGAAUGAGCCGAUGUCGGAUUAGCUGGUUGGCGGGGUAAUGGCCCACCAAGGCGACGAUCCGUAGCUGGUCUGAGAGGAUGAUCAGCCACACUAGAACUGAGACACGGUCCAGACUCCUACGGGAGGCAGCAGUGGGGAAUAUUAGACAAAGGGCGCAAGCCUGAUCCAGCCAUACCGCGUGGGUGAAGAAGGCCUUCGGGUUGUAAAGCCCUUUUGUUGGGAAAGAAAAGCAGCAGGUUAAUACCCCGCUGUUCUGACGGUACCCAAAGAAUAAGCACCGGCUAACUUCGUG